CUGGCUUAAAGGAGAGAGAGAGGGAGGGGGAGGGAGAGAGAAUGAGAACUACCUGAGCCUCAGCAGGGUCCAGCUGUCACCUGCUAGCUGUUAGGCCAUGUGAAGAGCUUUUUCCCACACUCUCAGUGGUCAUUCCAAGUGCGUUUAGGCAGGAAAAGCAAUGCAGGACGUCAUCAACGCUGUCUGGAGCGAGGAGUUGAGGUCGGGGAUCACCAGGCUUUCCCGACCCCGCCAAACAAAGAACAAUGGCAGGGACUAGAAGUAAAGGACAAAGACACAAGCCCGUCUCACUUAACUUCAGGGGCGGGUUCUUCAGGUUGGCCAGCAUCGUUUGCCAACCCCUCACCUAAGCUUCUCCCCAGGGGAAGGGCAGACAUCUUUGAAGAACCCAUAAGUCAUCUUUUGAAGUCGGCCUGACCUUUCACAAGGCUAUUUCAUUUCGACUCUCUCUGCUUUUGGCCUGAACCAACAUGCCUCUAUCUAGGACCAUUUCUGCUGCUGAUUAAAAUCGAUGACUACUUUGAAAAAAAUAAAUAACCAAAGUACGCACUUCCUUCAAGAUCUU
Molecule: long non-coding RNA, 565 nt
Organism: Mesocricetus auratus (golden hamster)
Lineage: Eukaryota; Metazoa; Chordata; Mammalia; Rodentia; Cricetidae
Exons: 2
Source: RefSeq, a predicted model, not a curated record